GGAAUUAUUGGGUGUAAAGGGUGCGCAGGCGGAAGCCUAAGUCGAGGGUGAAAGACGACCGCUCAACGGUCGCAGUGCCUUCGAUACUGGGUUUCUUGAGUCCGGAAGAGGUUGGUGGAAUUCGUGGUGUAGCGGUGAAAUGCAUAGAGAUCACGAAGAACACCAGUGGCGAAGGCGGCCAACUGGUCCGGCACUGACGCUGAGGCACGAGAGCGUGGGGAGCGAACAGGAUUAGAUACCCUGGUAGUCCACGCUGUAAACGAUGCAUGCUAGUUGUUGUCUCUUCGGAGGCAGUGACGCAGUUAACGCGCUAAGCAUGCCACCUGGGGAGUACGUUCGCAAGAAUGAAACUCAAAGGAAUUGACGGGGGCCCGCACAAGCGGUGGAGCAUGUGGCUUAAUUCGAUGCAACGCGAAGAACCUUACCCAGGCUAAAUCUAGGCUGAUCGGCCGGGAAACCGGCCUUCCCUUCGGGGCAGCCUGGAAGGUGCUGCAUGGCUGUCGUCAGCUCGUGCCGUGAGGUGUUGCCUUAAGUGGCGCAACGAGCGCAACCCCUGUGGUUAGUUACCAGCACGUAAUGGUGGGGACUCUAGCCAGACUGCCUACGCAAGUAGUGAGGAAGGUGGGGACGACGUCAAGCCAUCAUGGCCCUUACGUCUGGGGCUGCACACGUGCUACAAUGGACAGUCCAGUGGGAAGCGACCGCGCGAGCGGCAGCAGAUCCCCAAAACUGUUCCCAGUUCGGAUUGGAGUCUGCAACUCG
This 762-nucleotide ribosomal RNA is filed under the name uncultured Bacteroidota bacterium. RNAcentral describes it as "bacterial SSU rRNA". It matches the Rfam family "Bacterial small subunit ribosomal RNA", at positions 547 to 1314 of the family's 1533-position model. Lineage: Bacteria; Pseudomonadati; Bacteroidota. The record is from RNAcentral.